GCUGGGUGUGGUGGCUCAUACCUGUAAUCUCAGUACUUGGGAGGCCAAGGCGGGAUGAUUGCUUGAGCCCAGGGGUUUGAGAUCAGACUGGGCAACAUGGUGAGACCCUGUCUCUACAAAAAAUUGUUUUAAAUUAGCUGGGCAUAGUGGUGGACACCUGUGGUCCCAGCCACUCGGGAGGCUGACUGAGGUGGAAAGAUCUCUUGAGCCCAGGGGUUUGAGGCUGCAGUGAGCCAUGAUCACACCACUGCACUCCAGCCUGGGCAACAGAGCAAGACCCUGUCUCA
This is an unclassified non-coding RNA of Pan paniscus (pygmy chimpanzee), 287 nucleotides long. It matches the Rfam family "Metazoan signal recognition particle RNA". From Rfam's summary of the family: The signal recognition particle (SRP) is a universally conserved ribonucleoprotein. It is involved in the co-translational targeting of proteins to membranes. NCBI's taxonomy places the organism in Eukaryota, Metazoa, Chordata, Mammalia, Primates, Hominidae. The record is from Ensembl.